Molecule: unclassified non-coding RNA, 216 nt
Filed under: soil metagenome
Description: partial contains 5.8S ribosomal RNA, internal transcribed spacer 2, and large subunit ribosomal RNA
Source: RNAcentral
AACACUGUUAACCUGCGGUACCUGCGGAAGGAUCAUUACAGGACUCGCAAGACUCCUACAACCCUGUGAACCUACUAUACGAACGUUGCUUCGGCGGGUGCGCCCCGGGGAUUCGUUCCCGAGGCGCGUCAGCCCGCCGGCAGCCUACAAAUUCUGUUUCUUUGCGUUGGCAUCUCGAGAAAAAACAAAUAAGUUAAAACUUUCAACAAUGGAUCU